CUUGGGAGGAGAGUUGUCUCAUUGGCACUCAUACCACAUCUUCCUAUAUCUAUCUAUAUCUAUACAUUUUUUUUCAACAAAAGAAUACAUCACAAGAAUAUAAGUUUUGUAAGAAACGUGAGAAAUUGUGUUGGACUUGAAGAUAAGGCAAAGUGACAAAUAUCUGAAAGAAUGAAUCGUUUUAUGGUAUUAAACAAAGAAAUCAAAUGAUUUUUUGAUUAUUUAUAAC
Molecule: long non-coding RNA, 229 nt
Filed under: Mytilus galloprovincialis (Mediterranean mussel)
Lineage: Eukaryota; Metazoa; Mollusca; Bivalvia; Mytilida; Mytilidae
Source: RNAcentral